UUUGAUCCAUGGCUCAGGAUGAACGCUGGCGGCGUGCCUAAUACAUUGCAAGUCGAACGAGUUUCUGAUUAUUGAAAGGUGCUUGCAUCUUGAUUUAAUUUUGAACGAGUCGGCGGACGGGUGAGUAACACGUGGGUAACCUGCCCUUAAGUGGGGGAUAACAUUUGGAAACAGAUGCUAAUACCGCAUAAAUCCAAGAACCGCAUGGUUCUUGGCUGAAAGAUGGCGUAAGCUAUCGCUUUUGGAUGGACCCGCGGCGUAUUAGCUAGUUGGUGAGGUAACGGCUCACCAAGGCAAUGAUACGUAGCCGAACUGAGAGGUUGAUCGGCCACAUUGGGACUGAGACACGGCCCAAACUCCUACGGGAGGCAGCAGUAGGGAAUCUUCCACAAUGGACGCAAGUCUGAUGGAGCAACGCCGCGUGAGUGAAGAAGGCUUUCGGGUCGUAAAACUCUGUUGUUGGAGAAGAAUGGUCGGCAGAGUAACUGUUGUCGGCGUGACGGUAUCCAACCAGAAAGCCACGGCUAACUACGUGCCAGCAGCCGCGGUAAUACGUAGGUGGCAAGCGUUAUCCGGAUUUAUUGGGCGUAAAGCGAGCGCAGGCGGUUUUUUAAGUCUGAUGUGAAAGCCCUCGGCUUAACCGAGGAAGUGCAUCGGAAACUGGGAAACUUGAGUGCAGAAGAGGACAGUGGAACUCCAUGUGUAGCGGUGAAAUGCGUAGAUAUAUGGAAGAACACCAGUGGCGAAGGCGGCUGUCUGGUCUGUAACUGACGCUGAGGCUCGAAAGCAUGGGUAGCGAACAGGAUUAGAUACCCUGGUAGUCCAUGCCGUAAACGAUGAAUGCUAGGUGUUGGAGGGUUUCCGCCCUUCAGUGCCGCAGCUAACGCAUUAAGCAUUCCGCCUGGGGAGUACGACCGCAAGGUUGAAACUCAAAGGAAUUGACGGGGGCCCGCACAAGCGGUGGAGCAUGUGGUUUAAUUCGAAGCAACGCGAAGAACCUUACCAGGUCUUGACAUCUUUUGAUCACCUGAGAGAUCAGGUUUCCCCUUCGGGGGCAAAAUGACAGGUGGUGCAUGGUUGUCGUCAGCUCGUGUCGUGAGAUGUUGGGUUAAGUCCCGCAACGAGCGCAACCCUUAUGACUAGUUGCCAGCAUUUAGUUGGGCACUCUAGUAAGACUGCCGGUGACAAACCGGAGGAAGGUGGGGAUGACGUCAAAUCAUCAUGCCCCUUAUGACCUGGGCUACACACGUGCUACAAUGGAUGGUACAACGAGUUGCGAGACCGCGAGGUCAAGCUAGUCUCUUAAAGCCAUUCUCAGUUCGGACUGUAGGCUGCAACUCGCCUACACGAAGUCGGAAUCGCUAGUAAUCGCGGAUCAGCACGCCGCGGUGAAUACGUUCCCGGGCCUUGCACACACCGCCCGUC
Molecule: ribosomal RNA, 1425 nt
Filed under: uncultured bacterium
Lineage: Bacteria
Description: bacterial SSU rRNA
Rfam family: Bacterial small subunit ribosomal RNA
Source: RNAcentral